Non-coding RNA from Scomber japonicus (chub mackerel), 545 nucleotides. The record is from the annotation of a RefSeq genome assembly. NCBI's taxonomy places the organism in Eukaryota, Metazoa, Chordata, Actinopteri, Scombriformes, Scombridae.
AUGUUGAUUGGCUACUUGCAGCUGCAGUCGGUUCCUGCUGUAACAGCUCAGAGUCUCUGCAGUCUGACUGAGGGAGGUUUUUUGCAGGAGGUUUUUGUACGGCCACUUAAUGAGUUUGUAUCACUGUGGUGGACUUUUGGUGGAGGAACCAAACUCACCGUUGACUUGGGUGUGGUGCGGCCCACCCUGACCGUCCUCCCCCCCUCCAAAGAGGAGGUGCAGCAGGGCAGUGCCACACUGCUGUGUCUGGCCAGCGGGGGCUCUCCCUCAACCUGGAGGCUGGACUGGAAGGUGGGGGGCAGCAGCAGCAGCUCCUCAGAGGUGUCACACAGCCCGGAGGUCCUGGGGAGGGACGGCCACUACAGCUGGAGCAGCACCCUGAGCCUCUCUGCAGACCGCUGGAGGAAGGCGGGCUCAGUGAGCUGUGAGGCCAGUCUGAAUGGACAGACCCCUGUCACUCAAAGCCUGGACCCUGACCGCUGCUCAGAGUAGAGCUUCAGCAACACUUCCUGUCUGGAAAUGAUGCUUCUUUUUCUUUGCUCCAG